RNAcentral lists this long non-coding RNA (11704 nucleotides) under Musa acuminata (dwarf banana). Its description in RNAcentral is "long non-coding RNA (MACU_LNC005041)". The record is from RNAcentral. Lineage: Eukaryota; Viridiplantae; Streptophyta; Magnoliopsida; Zingiberales; Musaceae.
AGCUGUGGCAUGCGCAGAGUGAUCAGUGUGGGUCGGGAGCAGCGGAGAUCAUCGACUGCAUAGAUCCAAUCAGGCCUAUUACCGGGUUCAACAAGAAGCGGCAGCUGGGUUCGCAGUUGGCGACGAGCUUGCCGGUGGCGCUGUCGUAGGUCUCCAUGGUCUCCACCAGGAAGUCUGGCUCGGGGUUUUCGAUGAGCGGGUCAACGCAGCAGGUCGGCUGCCAGAACCACCCUGGCUGGCAGCGAGUCCCCGGCCACUGCAGGAGUCACGAUCCGUUAGACUUCAUUAACAGUUUACCGUACAAGAAAGGCUUUCUGUAAAGCCGAGAGAGAGAGAGAGAGAGAGGAAUAGGUACUAUGAGAGACAGGAUCAUGUAGUCGUAUGAAGCAGCUGCUAGCGCACAAGAGGCGGCGCACAAGAGGAAGCAGAACGUGGGAAGAGCCUUUGAGCCAGCCAUUCUGCAGAGGUGGAGAGGAUGAUCGGGGGAGAGACGCUUCGUGAGGUGAUGAGUCUGAUGGCUCUAUAUAAGCACUACAUUGAAGACACACCCACCUACUGAUAAUUGUUGGACUAAUAAUGCACCGCGAUUGCUGUUAGGGGGGUCUUAAAAUAAUGCACUUCGCAUAAAAUGUCGUACACCAACAUGAAACAUGAGGGACAUUCCCGCAUAUCGCAAGCAUAGUGGGUUGCAAAAUGCAAGGAAAGAAAGUAAGGAAUUUAUUUGAUUAUGGUCUCUCAUAGCUAUAAGAUUAUGGUCUCUCGUAGCUAUAUGGACUAUGUGACAUCGUCAAACCACGAUGUCACCUCCACCCUCCACCCCACCAGCCACUGGACCCUUUCCAUACAUUACAAUCAUUAAUCUUGAUGGAGGUGAACGAGAGAUAAUCAUAAGUAUUUUUCCUCUCUUCUCUUUUGUAUGACUCAUCGUAUUAGAUAUUAUCGUACGCUUCACGCACAUAUUGUUUUACUCACCUGAUCGAGCAACGAUAAUAGUGUGAUAGAAGCGAGCAAGGGAUACUCCUUCGACUAAGGGGCUUGAAAUCUAAGAGAUAGAAAAGGGAUUGAGGAUAAAGACACGAGCAAGAGAUAAUAUAAUUUUAUGACGAAUAAGAGUUAAAGAGUAAGAUGAGAAUGACUAUAUGAUGCGAAUAAAACAAAAAAGUGACAUUAGUAGAAUAAAAAGUAAAAAANNNNNNNNNNNNNNNNNNNNNNNNNNNNNNNNNNNNNNNNNNNNNNNNNNNNNNNNNNNNNNNNNNNNNNNNNNNNNNNNNNNNNNNNNNNNNNNNNNNNCGUGUUAUUAUCUAUCGGCAAACAAUUGACUUGAUAAUUGAUAAGGCAUAUAUUUAGGAUCUCGGCCACGUCGCGAUCCACGCCACGUCACACUCCUGCAGAUUCAACACAAGGGUUGCCUUCCUUCCACGUCGAGUUGGAGCUCGUAUAGGGAGGCACCCUCUCAACAAGUCCCUUCCCAGAAAGCUUGGGACGUUGUCCCAUGGCGUCGUUCCGCGCAUACCGGGUGACGAUUACACGAAGGUACGAUCUUGGGGGUAUCGAUCGUCAAGUCAAAUCCGCGUAUAAUCGAUCCUCGGACAAUAGUAUAAAAUCCCUUGACCGGCAUCUGGCUAGGAGACAAAGAACAGAAGAAAAAAAUCACUGACUUAGUCUACGAUGGGCCAAAGUCGGGAAUCUCCAGACCAGGGCGUGUGUGCAGGAACGUGGCCACCCCCGAACUAGCUCAAUCCCUCAUUGGAGAUGCGACCAUCCUGGCCGUUGAUCCAGACGCGACCAUCCCGACCCCUGAUCCAACUCGGCCUCGAUGCUUCUUCCAAUCGAUCGAGAGGCGCACUCCCGAACGUCGAAAACUCUGGACAUCGACAUGUGAACCAAAACGUGCCGACUCCUCGACCACGGCACGUAAGUUCACCAACAAAAAUAACGACGCAUUGUUGAAACAUUGAUUAUAAUCAAAGAAGAACGUUCUCAAAAUUAUUUUAAAAAAUAUUUUAUUUCUACCUAAUUAGUCAAUUAUUUAAAAUUUUUUUGAUGAUCAAUUCAUUUUCACUAACUCAGUAAAAUAUAAUAUUUGAAGAAAAUUAUACUGAAGAUAGAAUGUAAUAAAUGUAAUUAUAUAUAUAUAAUUAAUAUUUUUAAAAUAUAUUAAAUCGGAUAAUUUUACGGAAUAAGGUUUUGAGUCGUUCGAUGUAUGACUCUGUUAUAUCAAUAUAAGAUGAUAUUUUAGAUAUUAAAAAUAUAUACGAGACAACAUUUUGGUGCAGUUAUAUAUGUUUAAGAAAGACCACUUUUAUUACUGCAGGUGUGAAGAAGAUGCGACUCUACAACUCGGGAGUAAAAGACGAAGCGACAGCUCACAUCACCAUAAGUGCAAGCAUGUGGAUCACGCCAAGCAGAAGAAGACAGGCUUAAAGCAGUUCCUCCAUCACAGUGCCAUCUCGUCGCCGGAGGGCAACUCGAUCACUGUCUUGGAAACGGCGUCGUCUUCACGGCCUUGCAGUGGGUACGACACAGGGGGGAACUUGACCGUGUCGCCGCAGUUACUCUCCCUGCCGUUGGGGCAGCCGAUGAUCGACCUCCCGUCGCUGGAGACGCAGACGCGGAUCUGGUAGAGGUAGUCUUCGUAGAAGAAAGGCCAGAGAAUGUAAUUCCUGGUGCACACCACCGUGAACGAGAACCCGAUCCUGGGCACCAACGCGUCGUUGAUGUCGUCCAGGCUGUAGCUCUUCGUCGCGUGCGGUAUGAUCCCACUCGAGCCCAGGUUGACGAGGGGGUCCACCUUCUUCCUGAGUUGAAGCGCCCGGUCGAAGUAGAGCGACUGGUUGAGGCUGGAGCAAGUGCCGUAGGUGCACCACACGUCCUUCCAGUGGGGCAUCCCGCUGUUGCUGGGACAGGUCAGGUUGGCGUAGUACGUGUACAAGUUGUCGAGCAUGUUCACCAGCUGUCCAAACAAGACAAAGCGGUCAUCAUCGACAUCUCGGCCGAGUUAGCUCGGGUGGAGGAGGCUAACGAGACUCACCGGAAGUAUCUUGAAGACGCAGCUUCUGCUGCAGCCGGUGACCGGUUUACCGGUGGCGCUGUCGUAGGUUUCCAGGGCUUGGACGAGGAAGUCCGCCGCCGGCUCGCCAUUCGUCGGCAUACAGCACUUCCCUGUCGGUUGCGAGCUAGCACAGUAGCUUCCUGGCCACUGCAGUGAGAAGGACAUCAUACCAUCACCCAUCUUGCCAUCGAUGGUUACCACUACUGCAGGAAACCAGAACCAAGUAGAGGGUAACUAUACCAUAAGUUUCAAGAUCAGGUAGUCGGGCUUCGAAGCUGCCCUUGCCGCCGGAGAGGAAGACAAGCAUAACAGCAAGACAAGCAAGCAGAUCCCAGGAAGAGCCUUGAGGAUAGCCAUUCUGCAGGAGCUGUCGAGUUGCCUUGGUGAUGGUGGAUAAUAUAAGCCCAUCGUGGAACACACUGGUUGUGGCCUGGUGGUGGCGGGAUCCAUGGCAGCUCUAUCAAGAAAUGGCUGUCCUCGUCUCAGCCAUCAGCCUCUCCCCACGAGUUUCACGUGGCUUGCAGAUCUCAUCGCUUUCGAGAAAUGGUCGCCGUGCUGUUCACCACCAAUUUAAUGAUGACAUUAAAAUAAUGGCACAGUACAAGAUCAGAUGAUGUUCCAUGUGACUGACUUCUUUUAUUUGGACUCUCUCUCUCUCUCAUGAUUCGGGAACGGACAAGGAGAUGGAAGCAUUGAUUACAGUCGAGCCACCCAAACAACACCCCACUCCUCGCCAUCAAAUGUUCUUAUCUUCACAGACCGAACAUCAUUGAAGGGACUAAUAAGAAGAAGAUGGAUAGCAACCUGAUCGAAACAAGAACAAUGUUGAGAUGGGGAGGGGUUACGAACCGGUUCUGAGAAAGAUUUCUAGAUGUGAUUUCCUCUAAAGAAAUCAUGCAUUAAUUUGUUCUUGACCAAGUACAACAUGACUCGGAGAUUGGUAGACAAGAAAAAUGUAUUCAGAUCGUUCAUAAUUUCAUUUAAGAAAACCGAUCUAGAAGGAUUUUUUUUUGCGACAAUUAGGGAUUGAAAAUAGUCACGAUUAAGCCACUAAGUAGGGGUGAUGGUAAUUUCAGAACGGUCAAUUUUGAUUUCCGAAAUCAGCAACCGAGAAAAUAAAGAGUUAAAAAUAAUUAUAAUGAAUAUCAAAGUCUUUCCUCCAAUUACUAUAUGUUAGGAUAAAAAAUAUCGUUGAUGCGUGUAUUAGCAUGAUGUGAUCCUGAUCCGCAUACGAGGAGUCGAUAGAACAAGAUUUCUUCGAUCUCGUUCAUAUACAAAGACUAAGAUUGAAAGGGAUUUUCCGAGUUGAUUUAUCUAAUGCUUAACUUAGCACUUAGUUGCAUACAAAGACUUAUUUUUUUUUUAAUGAAGAUCCUAUAGAGAAAAAGUUCGAACUCAACUAUCUUUUUUAUUUUUAUGAUAUAUUUUUGUGAAUAUUUUUAUAGGAAAACUAGUUUAUAAUCAACUCAAACUACCUUUUAAUAUUCCUGAAAUAUUCCUACAAAUAUUUUGUAAGAAAGUCUGAAUUGUCUUAUGGGAAUAAUUCACGAUUAGCUAGUUUUUAAUUGAUCUGAAUUAUCUUCAAUUUUUUAUGAAUAUUUAAAUAUUUCAUCGAGGAGGUAGCUUAACAAAUCGGUAAUUGACCCGAGCUAUCUUUUGAGUUCGAAUAGAAAAUAUUGGCUUAAUAUGACAUUGACGUUACGAACGAUGACUAACCAAUUUAAUAUUUUCUUUCGCUAUGUGUAGUCAAACACUAUGUGAGUUGUGUUCAAACCACAAACUCUACGUAGCUAAAGAAAAAAAAAAAGGUAAGAUUAUUUUGUAUGAUCUAUAUUGAUCAAACGAUAAACAAGAAAAAAAUAGAAAAAGGUAAGAUAAGAUUAUUUUUUAUGGUCUCAUCGAAUAAAGUUUAUGUCGUCGAAACAAUUUCUAUGGUUACAAGAAUAGUGGAAGUCUCGUCAAGAGGAAACAAAAGAAUAUGGAAUAUGUGGAUCUCCUUUUUCCACGAAGGAGAGAUGGCAGAAGAAUUUUGUGUUCGAAUCCCAUCAUUUAUUUUGUAUCAAAAAAAGACACUAAUUCAACGAAAAGCUGAACACAAAUGAUGGAGAGAUGGAGUUUAGAUAUCAAACGUAUGGGAAUUUUACCUUCAUUAAGUAAAAUCCCAACUUGUUCAUGACAGGUAAUAUGCUCUGUUGUUAUUUGAUUAAUCUUAGAGACAGAGAUCAUAAAACAACAUCUUAUUCCAGUAGAUCGCAAGACGAUGAUGACAUCCUACACACAGGCAAUUCAUCAUGUUUGAGUGCCAAGAUGAUGAUGAUGACAUCCGCAUGACAAGAGGGCAGUAAUCCGUGGAUCGAUCACUGAGUCAUCGCCUUGUCCGAUGGCAACUUGAUGUGGUCGACCGCCGGAUGGCGCGGGCGCCCGAGCAUGUCGUCCGUGAACGGGUAGAACUUGACCUUGCUGCCGCAGUUGCUCUUCCUGGCGAAGGGACAACCGAUGAGAGACUUGCCGUCGGCGGAGACGCAGAUGCGGACUCUGGAGAGCAGGUAUUCCCGACUCAGCACGCCCAUCUCCGUGGUGCACUCCACCACCGCCGAGAACCCGAUCUUGGGCACCAGCGCGUCCUCGAUGUCCUCCAAACUGUAGCUCUUCGUCUCCGACGGGAUGAUGGCUUGAGAUCAGGAACAGAUCCAUGCGUUAGCUGCAGACACUUGUAAGCUCGAGGUCGGCGUGCAGGGCAGGGCUGCUUACCUUUGGAGCCGAGAGCACGGAGGAUGUCCACUCGAGCCCGGAGCUGAAGCGCCCGGCCGAAGUAAUUCACCUCGCUGAGGCUGGUACAGUUGCCGUAGGUACACCAGGCGGCCUUCCACACCUGCUUCCCGUUCUGGGCUGGGCAGCUCAAGCUGGGCCAGUAGGCGUUCAAGUCGUCCAACAGAUCGACAAGCUGUGGCAUGCGCAGAGUGAUCAGUGUGGGUCGGGAGCAGCGGAGAUCAUCGACUGCAUAGAUCCAAUCUGGCCUAUUACCGGGUUUAUCAAGAAGCGGCAGUUGGGUUCGCACUUGGCGACGAGCUUGCCGGUGGCGCUGUCGUAGGUCUCCAUGGUCUCCACCAGGAAGUCUGGCUCGGGGUUGCCGAUGAGCGGGUCAACGCAGCAGGUCGGCUUCCCGUUCCACCCUGGCUGGCAGCGAGUCCCCGGCCACUGCAGGAGUCACGAUCCAUUAGACUUCAUUAGCAAUUCACAGUAGGACUCAUCGAUUGCACAAGAAGGGCUUUCUGUAAAGCCGAAACAAAAGAGAGAGAGGAAUAGGUACUCUGAGAGACAGGAUCAUGUAGUCGUAUGAAGCAGCUGCUAGCGCACAAGAGGCGGCGCACAAGAGGAAGCAGAACGUGGGAAGAGCCUUUGAGCCGGCCAUUCCGCAGAGGUGGGAAGGAUGAUCGGGGGAGAUGAUGAGUCUGAUGGCUCUAAAUAAGCACGAAGACACACCCACCCACCCACCGAUAAUUGUUGGGCUACAUCGAUAUUGUUCUCGUGAGUAUAAUAUAAUAUAAUAUAAUGCACCUCGAUUGCGGCAUGGGGGUCGUAAAAUAAUGCACUUCGCUUUAAAUUUCGUACACCAACGUGAAACACGUGGGACGUUCCCGCAUCCCGCAAUCGUAGUGGGUUGGAAAGUGCGAGGAAAAAAAGAAGGAUUUUAUUUGAUUAUGGUCUCUCAUAGCAUAUUAUACUCUUCAUCUAAAUUAGGGAUUAAAAGGCUUCGAGACCAAGCAAGUGAAUAAUAAUAAAAUAAUAUAUUAAAAAAUCGAUCAAGAAAAAAUCCGUAAAAUAUUUUAUUCAUCUUUGAACAUGCUUUCGACCAUGCAUUAUUGAAACAUAUUCGUCCAUUUGAAAUAUCAUAUCUUUAAUCGCAUAUUACAUAUCAUAUGAAUUGGAUAUGUGUACUACCAUUAUUUUCCUUAAAUAAUAAUUUAAAUUUAUUAAAUUAAAAUUUAUGCCUGUGGACAUUAUUGUGUGAUCGGAACUGAGAACGAAGACUCGAACAAUGCAAAGGUCCGUAAGGUCUCGCCGAAUCAUCUUCCUUUGUCUUCCCUUUUACGCCAUCGGCGGUACCGAUGCAUUCGAUCCGGAGCUGGGCCUUCUCCGCCCUGAUCCUGGCUGUCACCGUCCUCUUCUUCUUCUUCUUCGACUGGCCGUCUCCUCCUCUUCAAGAAAUAGCCGGAGAUAUUCCUGGAUCCUUGAAUGACAUCGCUGUGACGGUAGGCCAUGGCUUCGAUUUCUUUCUCUCCCCUUCCUCUUCCCUUACCUUCUUUUCCCUUAGGAUAGGACAUAUUUUGGCCUUAUAUGAACCACCGAUAGACGUUGCAGAUCGACACAACACCGUACGCCUCCAAAACCGUGGGGUGCAUGCCACGUCAAGAGCCAACGAUGCAAUUGUGCGGCUUGACCACCUCAAAAGCUGGGGGCGGUGCCGUCUGCUGCUAGGGCAGUGUCGUCUGACGCCCCUCGAGCACCCUCGAAGAUGUCAUCUUGUCAGAGAGGUUGUUCCGCCCCUAGAGUUAACGACCAUAUCGGACCAGGGCCCGACCAAUUACCGCACGCAGGUAUAAAUACCCCCGACCUGAUCCAAAAAAAAGGGAGAAAAGGAUGAGAGAUUUAGAAUGAAUCUAACUUGCUCGUCGGAGGGGCCAAAGUUGGGACUUACCCUACGAGGGUCUUUUUGCAGAGAGGUAGUCGUCGCUGAGACGCGAAUGUCGUCUUCACACGGACGGUGCCCGGUACGCAGAGGAGGGUGGCCCAACGAGUCGGACUCGACAAGUGUCAGCCCGCAUCUCCCAUCUCCAAGAGGCUUCCACACCACAAGGAGGAUCCCCAACCAUCCGAGGGGAUGAGAGGACGCAUCUUCUCAUGAACAAUGCUCAUAUCGGCCAACUUUGGAAAGCCGGCUCACAGCGAGGCUCAGGCCGACCUUGCCACCUCAACCGGCGCUCAACGCGUUUAAGGGGCGCAACCACUCAAACGAUAGUAAUUCCGCCAGAAGUUCCCGACGUCGGCAGGUGGGCCUAGUCAUGCUGACAUAUUAGUCACGACAUGUUUGUUCACUAACAUUUUGGCCCUAGAAGAAGGGCCCAUGUCGCGGGAAUAGCUGGCAAGAACGUGCCCUGGGAGGGAACCCCCGACCGACCUCCCUUUCGCUGAGCCAGAAGGACAACCCCUCUCUACCCCUAUGGACGGAGGGAUACCGAUUUCAACGCUUGAUCGUUACUGGCGCUUGUUCAACGACCCGGGACUAUCCCCCCCGGGGCUCACCCCGGGGGGCCCGGCUGUGAUGCCCGAGGCAUUCCUUAGCCUAACCAAGCAAGUAUAGACCAUGACAGGCAUGAUGCACUCACUCGCCCCGAUCACUCCCCAAAUCGGGCAGCCCUCGAUGCCCUCGACCGAUCCGACCCGGCAACCCCCGAACGGGGAACAGCUCGGGGUUGGGCCAGCCUCGUGGCGAGCAACGGACCCGAGGGGUCCUCCCGUGCAAAAUGCGCCCACAGCUUGCUGAGCCACCCCAUCUCAUCUAGAGCCCGAUACUAUAUCAUCUGACUCGGCGAACGACUCACUCAGAGCUCAGUUGUCCCGGGUCAAUCAGCACCUGGACGAGUUCCAGCGUGAGCUUUGGAGAUUGCGUAGUGAGCCUAGCGAGGGCGCUUUGGUUGGGUCCCUCUUUACCCAAGAAGUACAAGAUAAGCCGGUCCCCCUCAACUUCAGGUUCCCGACAUUAGAAACGUACGAUGGAGGCUCGAUCCCAUGGAGCAUGUCUUUGUAUUCCGGGCCUAGAUGGCCCUCUAUGGUGCCUCCGAUGUGCUGAUGUGCCGAGUGUUUCCGACCACUCUGCGUGGCCCGGCGUGGACAUGGUUCAGCCGGCUGUGUCAAGCUUCAGUCUCGUCCUUCGACCAGGUGGUCGAGGAAUUUGAGCAAAGCUUCCUCACCGGCGCACGGCCCAGGCCCUCCAUGGCCACUUUGCUUGCACUAUCUCAGCACGAGGACGAGUCGCUCUCUCAGUUCGUGGCACGGUUCACACUAAGAUCCGAGGUUUUUCAGAUACUCACCCUUCUCUAAUCUUGCAAGCCUUUAUGAUGGGUCUUAAACCUUUAAGGUUCUUAUGGUCGUUGAUCGAGAAGCCGCCAGCGACCAUCUCUGAGAUGCUUCUACGUGCCAACCAGUACAUUGCCGUCGAGGCUUUAGUGGCGGGGAGGCACGUGGAAGGCAAGAAGCUCAGGAUGGAGCUGUCUCGAGGAACGGCCUCGGCGUUCCCGACGCCUCCCCGCCGGGGGCUCAACCGACAAGAGCUGCUACUCCCAAGACCCCCACCUCUCCCCCUAAACACAUCCCGUUCCGAGAUCUUCCUCUAGAUCAAAGAGACGAGCCUCUUGCAGCAGCCUUGCCCUAUGAAGGCCGCCCACAGAGACCAAUCUAAAUACCGUGGGGAUCCGUCGGCACACCCCGGAGGUGGGGGAGAAGUGAUAGGGCAUAUUUUGGCUCUAGAUGAAUCACCAACAAAUGUCACAAACCAAUAGCCACGAACGCAAUGCCAUGCGCCACCAGAACCACGGGGUGCAUGCCACGUCAAGUUCGGUACUAUGUGAUUGUGCGACUUGACCACCCCAAGAGCUCGGGGCGGUGUCGUCUACUUUUGGGACAGUGCCGUCUGACGCCACUCAAGCACCCCCAAGGAUGCCAUCUCGUCAAAGAAGUUAUCCCACCCCCAUGAAAGUUAGCGGCCACGCCGAACUGAGGCACAACCAACUCUCGCACGCAAGUAUAAAUACCCCCGUCCGAUCCCGAUGAGAGAAGAAAAAAAGGAGGAAGAAAAAACAGGGGAAUCCGAACUAAUCUAACUUGCUUGUCGGUGGGGCCAAAGUCGAGAGACACUCGACGAAGACCGUUUUGCAGGGAGGUGAUCGCCACUGAGCUGCGAGCGUCUCCACCCUGAAGUUGUCACCUAAUGCGCAGAGGAGGGUGGUCCAGUGGUUCGGAUCCCAACCAGCGCCGGCCUGCAUCUCCCAUCUCAAGGGUGUGCCCACGUCGCGGGGAAAGAUUGCCAACUAUCCCGGGGAUGAGAGGACACAUCUCGCCAGAAGCGACGCUCAGGUCGGCUAGCUUUGGAGUGCUAACCCCCAGCCGCUCGCGAGGACCCGACCGACCCUACCGCCUCAACCCUCGCUCGUAACGCUCGAGAGGCGCAACCAUCUCAUCAUCCUACUCAUUCCACUAGAAGUUUCCGACGUCGGUCCGUGGACCAAACUGUGAUGUCUCAUCAGCCAUGGUACUUUUGUUCACUAACAGACAUCAAACAUAUGGGAAUUUUACCUUCAUUAAUUAAAAUCCCAACUUGUUCAUGACCGGUAAUAUGCUAUGUGAUUAUUUGAUUAAUCUUAGAGACAGAGAUCAUAAAACAUCAUCUUAUUCCAGCAUAUGGCAAGACGAUGAUGACAUCCUACACACAGGCAAAUCAUCGUGUUUUAGUGCCAAGAUGAUGAUGAUGAUAUCCGCAUGACAUCGUACACAUAUCGCCUUGUCCGAUGGCAACUUGAUAUGGCCGGCCGCCGGAUGGCGCGGGCGCCCGAGCAUGUCGUCCGUGAACGGGUAGAACUUGACCUUGCUGCCGCAGUUGCUCUUCCUGGCGAAGGGACAACCGAUGAUAGACUUGCCGUCGGCGGAGACGCAGAUGCGGACUCUGGAGAGCAGGUAUUCCCGACUCAGCACGCCCAUCUCCGUGGUGCACUCCACCACCGCCGAGAACCCGAUCUUGGGCACCAGCGCGUCCUCGAUGUCCUCCAAACUGUAGCUCUUCGUCUCCGACGGGAUGAUGGCUUGAGAUCAGGAACCGAUCCAUGCGUUAGCUGCAGACACUUGUAAGCUCGAGGUCGGCAUGCAGGGCAGGGCUGCUUACCUUUGGAGCCGAGGGCAUGGAGGACGUCGGCUCGAGCCCGGAGCUGAAGCGCCCGGCCGAAGUAAUUCACCUCGCUGAGGCUGGUACAGUUGCCGAAGGUACACCAGGCGGCCUUCCACACCUGCUUCCCGUUCUGGGCUGGGCAGCUCAAGCUGGGCCAGUAGGCGUACAAGUCGUCCAACAGAUCGACAAGCUGUGGCAUGAGCAGAGUGAUCAGUGUGGGUCGGGAGCAGCGGAGAUCAUCGACUGCAUACAUCUAAUCUGGCCUAUUACCGGGUUUAUCAAGAAGCGGCAGUUGGGUUCGCACUUGGCGACGAGCUUGCCGGUGGCGCUGUCGUAGGUCUCCAUGGUCUCCACCAGGAAGUCUGGCUCGGGGUUGUCGAUGAGCGGGUCAACGCAGCAGGCCGGCUUCCCGGUCCACCCUGGCUGGCAGCUAGUCCCCGGCCACUGCACGAGUCACGAUCCAUUAGACUUCAUUAGCAGUUCACCGCAGGAGUCAUCGUUUGCACAAGAAAGGCUUUCUGUAAAGCCGAAACAAAAGAGAGAGAGAGAGAGAGAGAGAGAGAGAGAGGAAUUAGGUACUAUGAGAGACAGGAUCAUGUAGUCGUAUGAAGCAGCUGCUAGCGCACAAGAGGCGGCACACAAGAGGAAGCAGAACGUGGGAAGAGCCUUUGAGCCAGCCAUUCUGCAGAGGUGGGGAGGAUGAUCGGGGGAGA